GUGCUUGCUUCAGCAGCACACAUACUAAAAUUGGAACGAUACAGAGAAGAUUAGCAUGGACCCUGUGCAAGGAUGACACACAAAUUUGUGAAGCGUUCCAUAUUUUA
Small nuclear RNA from Panthera leo (lion), 107 nucleotides. The record is from Ensembl. NCBI's taxonomy places the organism in Eukaryota, Metazoa, Chordata, Mammalia, Carnivora, Felidae.